GAUGAACGCUGGCGGCGUGCCUAAUACAUGCAAGUCGAACGGACAGGUGCUGCUUUUGUGGGGCGCACGAGAGGCGAACGGGUGAGUAAAACACGAGUAACCUGCACCUGACUGUGGGAUAAAUUCAGGAGAAAGGGGAUAAUAUCGGGUAGGAGCUCCUGCAGCGUGGUGGGGGAUGGAAAGAUUCGGUGGUUGGGGAUCGAAUCGCGGCGUAUCCGCUUGUUGGUGGGGUAGUGGCUUACCCAGGCUUUGACGGGUAGCCGGCCUGAGAGAGUGACCGGCCACCUUGGCACCUAGAGGCGGCCCAGGCUCCGACUGUUGGGAGCUGGGGGGAAUAUUGCACGAGCGGCGGAAGGCGGAUGCAGCAGCUCCGCGUGCGGGAUGACGGCCUUCGUGUUGUAAACCGCUUUCGCCUGUGACGAAGCGCGAGUUACGGUAAUGGAUAAAGAAGCACCGGGUAACUACGUGC
Molecule: ribosomal RNA, 469 nt
Filed under: uncultured bacterium
Lineage: Bacteria
Description: partial 16S ribosomal RNA
Rfam family: Bacterial small subunit ribosomal RNA
Source: RNAcentral